Molecule: long non-coding RNA, 2358 nt
Organism: Magnolia sinica
Lineage: Eukaryota; Viridiplantae; Streptophyta; Magnoliopsida; Magnoliales; Magnoliaceae
Exons: 2
Source: RefSeq, a predicted model, not a curated record
UUACCACAGUUAUCUUGGAGUGGGCAUUCAUUUGGUUUAAAUGUUCUUUCAUUACUUUGUGGCUGCACACAACGUUGAUGCCUACUGUCCUCAGAAUUAGGGGUGGCAAUGGGUCAGAUCGGCCUCUGGGUCAAUUGGCCUGUCCGACCCACUUCUAAGGCAGUGGGUCGAGCUCAUUUGAACCCCAACCUAUACGUAUAGCUUAUCAAUGGCUGGGCUAGAUCACCCAACCUAACCCAACCCAAAAACUGAAACAAAUCAAUUGACAAUAAGGAGAGACACAUACACAUGAUGUAUGCAUGUUUUAUGUAUCCACUAAUUGUGUAGGGCUGGGCAUACCUUUGGCCUCAUUUUCCAUUCUUAAACUCAAGUGGUUGCUUUGGGUCAGGUCAGGUUGGUCUAGCACCAAUCCGAUUAAUUAUGAGCAGUGGGUCAGGCUUGGGCUUGAUGAAUUUUAAGUGGACUGGGUUGGGCCAUAGCACAAUGGGUCACAAUUCAGGCCGGAAUUCGUGGCCCGUUUAGUAAACUUGUCGGCUUGGGCUGACCCCAUCCCAUUGCCACCCCUACAUAAGAGUUACACUUAAAUCUGACCUUACCUAUUGCUAAUCAACAAUCUCCAGAAUUUUGUGUAAAUUUAAAAUUUGUGACACAAUCAUAUUAAAUCAACUCAGCAGAAAGGUAAUUGCAUUUUUAUAUUAAGAUAAAACCGUAGUAGUUGCAAUUUGUGGUCUAGUCGAUCAUUAUGAACUGUCCCACUUUGGUCAGUUAUUCUUUAUUCAAUUGAGUUAUUACAAUUCAACUCAAUUGCAUAUCUAAACGCAGUCUAAAUAAACUAGUGUUAGGCUCUAAAAUAUGAAUAAUACCAUGAGCCACCCACUUCACACAGGCCGCCCACCCCGAGUGUGCCCCUACAUCUCGCAGGCUACCCCACUCGAGUCCAGUGUGAAAAUGCCCCUGCAUUAAUCAUCCCCGAUGAGAAGUCUCAAACAGGAGACCUCCAGCUCCAAUACCACUUUGAUGUAGGAUAAUUAAGCGCAUGCUCUAAAAGCUCAAACUGAUAGAGAAUGAUGAAUCAAUCCCUUUAUCUCAUAGCCCAGGCCCCACAUCCCAUGGGUUAGGACCUCGGCUGUACCCCCCUCGUGGGCUCCACUUCACAUGGGUUCCGCUUCACACGAGCCACCCGCUUCACACGGGCCGCCCACUCCGAGUGUGCCCUUGCAUCUCACUAGCCACUCCACUCGAGUCCGAUGUUAAAAUGCCCUUGCAUUAAUAAUUCAACUAAUGCACAUGCCACCUCAUGCCAGCAUGGCUGACAAGUGCAUCCAAGCCAUCCAUCAAAAGGUACCACUUUGUAGAUUCCCUACCCCAAGAAUCCAGAUGUUCCACUAGUAAGGUGGGCCACAAUUAACUGAACAAAUGUACAGUUGUAAAAGAUCUGUGAAGUUUUCUAAGCCACCAACUUAUUUCUUGUAUCAUGGCACACCUACUGAAUGAACCACCUUUAUCUUUGGGCAGUAACAUCUACACGGUGAGGUCCACCUGAUGGAUGGAUUGGAUAUUUCACCCUACCAUGCCAGCAUGUUGUGGCAUGUGCAUUAGCUGACUUGUACACGCGUCUGGGCUUAGCAAAGCUCAUAGUACAUAAGAUAGUGCUUGUAUGUGGUAUUUCUCAAUCAGUGGGAGAAUCUUUUUGGGAAUACAAAUCCAAUUUAUGUAUUGCAUUAGUAAAUAUAAACUAAGCAAUUGCACAAUUUUAUUUCGACUGUAGUAAGCUAAUAUGCCAGAGCUGUUAAGUAAUGACAACUUUGGGACCCAUGAGGUAUGAACAUUACCAAAUGCAUGGAUUAUGGAUUCUAUCGAAGACGACUUUUUACGGAGGCUGGGAGUCUGUUUACAGAAGAUCCAAUUGCAGAAAACCUCAAUGUGCUUUAGAUGUGAUUGCUAAAGUAACCCAUCUACAAUGAGGCUUUGGGUUUCCCUGUGACUGAAUAGUUGAGCCUCUAUCUUGUUUUAAUGGCCUCAAAUUACACAACGUUGAGGUCAGGGGUUUAACAUUCAUGCAUAGCUAUUUAAAAAGAAAAAGGUAGGGCUGUCAAUGGGCCAUGCUUGGGCUGCAUAGAGCCUGUCAGCCUGGCCCGUUUAAGUUUUCAAGGGCAUUUUUGUCAAUAUCAUGCAUGAUUGGGCACUCCAAACAAACAGCCUAUAUCUUGCACAAAAGAGGGUGGCUGGGCUUGGGCUCGGGUGCCAUGCAUAAUCAUCACGGGCCAGACUUGGGCCUGUUUUGUUUGACCCAGACUUGGGCCUGGAUCUUACUUUGCGGGCUGGGUUUGGACAGACCUCAGUCCAGCCCAUUGACAG